This 38-nucleotide non-coding RNA is filed under the name unclassified sequences. RNAcentral describes it as "DUF805b RNA". It matches the Rfam family "DUF805b RNA". Rfam says of the family: Bacteroidetes, Chlorobi (1 example), Proteobacteria. Lineage (Flavobacteria) The record is from RNAcentral.
AAGGAGGAAACCGAAAAUCCUAUUGAACAGAGUAGGUA